UGGUAGGGGGUUGCACAAAGGCUGACUCUUAUAUAGCACUACUUUGGCUAUGGUGAGAGGAUCGUCAGUGGGGGGCAAUGGAGUUAUAUGCUCUUGUUCUCACCAUACUCUCUUUCAUUUUUUGACUGGACUGGUGGCCCUUCUUCUAGCACCAAACUAUUACUGCAGGACUCCGAUUCGAUGAUGAUGUGGCUAAGGUCGGAUGCCAUCUAAGGAUCAGAUGAUGAUGUGGCUAAGGUCGGAUGCCAUCUAAGGAUCAGAACACCAA
Molecule: long non-coding RNA, 268 nt
Filed under: Elaeis guineensis (African oil palm)
Lineage: Eukaryota; Viridiplantae; Streptophyta; Magnoliopsida; Arecales; Arecaceae
Description: long non-coding RNA (EGUI_LNC053159)
Source: RNAcentral